GACGGGGGGGGCAAGUGUUCUUCGGAAUGACUGGGCGUAAAGCGCACGUAGGCGGCUUUUUAAGUCAGGGGUGAAAUCCUGGAGCUCAACUCCAGAACUGCCUUUGAUACUGAGAAGCUUGAGUCCGGGAGAGGUGAGUGGAACUGCGAGUGUAGAGGUGAAAUUCGUAGAUAUUCGCAAGAACACCAGUGGCGAAGGCGGCUCACUGGCCCGGAACUGACGCUGAUGCGCGAAAGCGUGGGGAGCAAACGGG
RNAcentral lists this ribosomal RNA (253 nucleotides) under uncultured bacterium. RNAcentral describes it as "partial 16S ribosomal RNA". It matches the Rfam family "Bacterial small subunit ribosomal RNA", at positions 524 to 776 of the family's 1533-position model. The record is from RNAcentral.